RNAcentral lists this ribosomal RNA (700 nucleotides) under uncultured Verrucomicrobiota bacterium. Its description in RNAcentral is "bacterial SSU rRNA". It matches the Rfam family "Bacterial small subunit ribosomal RNA", at positions 104 to 818 of the family's 1533-position model. Lineage: Bacteria; Pseudomonadati; Verrucomicrobiota. The record is from RNAcentral.
GGGUGCGUAACACGUGAGUAAUCUGCCGGGAAGUGGGGGAUAACUCGCCGAAAGGCGAAUUAAUACCGCAUAUGGCCAGGGAGGACAUCCUCCCGAAGCCAAAGUCGCAAGACGCUUCCUGAUGAGCUCGCGGCCUAUCAGCUAGUUGGUGAGGUAACGGCUCACCAAGGCUAUGACGGGUAGCUGGUCUGAGAGGACGACCAGCCACACUGGAACUGAGACACGGUCCAGACACCUACGGGUGGCAGCAGUCGAGAAUUUUUCACAAUGGGGGAAACCCUGAUGGAGCGACGCCGCGUGGAGGAUGAAGGUUUUCGGAUUGUAAACUCCUGUCAAAUGGGAACAAGAAAGUGAUAGUACCAUUAGAGGAAGAGACGGCUAACUCUGUGCCAGCAGCCGCGGUAAUACAGAGGUCUCAAGCGUUGUUCGGAUUCAUUGGGCGUAAAGGGUGCGCAGGCUGUGGGGUAAGUCGGAUGUGAAAUUUAGGGGCUCAACCUCUAAACUGCAUUCGAUACUGCUCCGCUAGAGGUAUGUAGAGGAGAUUGGAAUUCACGGUGUAGCAGUGAAAUGCGUAGAUAUCGUGAGGAAGACCAGUGGCGAAGGCGAAUCUCUGGGCAUUACCUGACGCUCAUGCACGAAGGCCAGGGGAGCAAACGGGAUUAGAUACCCCGGUAGUCCUGGCAGUAAACGGUGCACGUUU